RNAcentral lists this long non-coding RNA (433 nucleotides) under Ananas comosus (pineapple). RNAcentral's name for it is "long non-coding RNA (ACOM_LNC015166)". Lineage: Eukaryota; Viridiplantae; Streptophyta; Magnoliopsida; Poales; Bromeliaceae. The record is from RNAcentral.
AAAUAAUUUUGACAAAUUUAGUCUAUUAGCGAAUAUCUAUCCAUCAUAUCCAACACACACAACCAAGAUAGAUUAAUCUCCAAGAGAUCAAAUUUGAUUUCAAAAUUUUGAUGAAUAUCUGUGUUAAGAAUUCGUAUAUUAAAUUAUCGUCAAAAUAAUAAAAAGUGGAGUAAAACCGAUAAUUAAUAUGAAUUUAACUUAAUAUGAAUGAGAAUUUAAAUACAGGUUAAGGCACUUUGAAGAAAUUUUAAUCCCCUCAAGAUAAUGAUUUUCAAUCGUCUCCUUUCUCAAAGAAAAUUUUUAAAUUCCCAAACACUUUUCCUCAAAUUAAUUUUAAAAACAAAUUUCACUUCGUCUCCUUUCACUUCGUUUUUUUUUAAAACAAAUUACAUGCACGAAAAUCAUCAUGUAAUGCAAUAAAUAAAAAUAUGCA